This 477-nucleotide ribosomal RNA is filed under the name Proteus mirabilis. Its description in RNAcentral is "bacterial SSU rRNA". It matches the Rfam family "Bacterial small subunit ribosomal RNA", at positions 1 to 484 of the family's 1533-position model. Lineage: Bacteria; Pseudomonadati; Pseudomonadota; Gammaproteobacteria; Enterobacterales; Morganellaceae. The record is from RNAcentral.
AUUAGAGUUUGAUCCUGGCUCAGAUUGAACGCUGGCGGCAGGCCUAACACAUGCAAGUCGAGCGGUAACAGGAGAAAGCUUGCUUUCUUGCUGACGAGCGGCGGACGGGUGAGUAAUGUAUGGGGAUCUGCCCAAUAGAGGGGGAUAACUACUGGAAACGGUGGCUAAUACCGCAUAAUGUCUACGGACCAAAGCAGGGGCUCUUCGGACCUUGCACUAUCGGAUGAACCCAUAUGGGAUUAGCUAGUAGGUGGGGUAAAGGCUCACCUAGGCGACGAUCUCUAGCUGGUCUGAGAGGAUGAUCAGCCACACUGGGACUGAGACACGGCCCAGACUCCUACGGGAGGCAGCAGUGGGGAAUAUUGCACAAUGGGCGCAAGCCUGAUGCAGCCAUGCCGCGUGUAUGAAGAAGGCCUUAGGGUUGUAAAGUACUUUCAGCGGGGAGGAAGGUGAUAAGGUUAAAUCGUCGACCUGCAG